This 4170-nucleotide ribosomal RNA is filed under the name Triticum aestivum (bread wheat). RNAcentral describes it as "partial small subunit ribosomal RNA". Lineage: Eukaryota; Viridiplantae; Streptophyta; Magnoliopsida; Poales; Poaceae. The record is from RNAcentral.
UUGUGGAGGGGCCCAUUUGAGAGCUACUGAAAAAGGAACGAAGCAGGUCUUCUCUCGGCGUCGGCGGAGCUCGUUACCUCAGACUGAGGAGAAAAAGAGAGACAUGCGUUGGAGAGGAAAGGAGAAGAGGAUCCCAACGCGGCGGCGGCGUCGGGUACGGUCGAUGAGGCUGCGGUAGGUGGCCUCUUUCGCAGGAGGGGUCCAGGCGAAGAGGGGGUUUGGUAGAGUAGAAGAAUAAGGUGGGCCGGCGGUACUAACAACGUCUCCUCCUCCUUCCCCUACCGUUUUAGAGCCCUCUCUUUUUUUGGCCGUUCGUUCGCUCUUCCUACAGUACCAUCUACAUACAACUGCUCGGCGACGAGACGCUGUAGCUGCCGGUCGCGGAGUGGCGGCGGGGUAGGAGCCGGUGCUGCCGUGACGGACCCGUGUCAGGCUCGGGAAGGAGCUCCAGUUUGGACUUCUUGAAUGACGUCAUUAUUUACUGAAGCUACUUGGUGUGUGAAACCGUGGUUGACCUAAUAAGGAACCACCAUGUUUCAGCGGUACUUCCGUCGGUUGUGUCCGCUGGAGGGAGAGAGAGCGAAGGAGAGGGUACAUUGGGCGGUGGUGAUCGCUGUAGUGCGAGUUCCGGCAGAAGCUCCUGUAGCCGUUCAAGAUGGAGUAGUACCUCGAGACGUUGCCGCCGGCGAACGACCUGCUCUACCGGUCCAUACAAUGGAAGAGACUCAACGUACGGUGUAAACACUAGUUCCUAGAGUGCAGUCACCACUUCAUGACGGUGCUUUACCCGCAGUAGGUGUCCCUGUUAUUCGGCCUUAUAUAAAACGAGUGGCCUUUGUCCCUUCUACUUUGAUCGUCUAAAACCUAUCCGUCGUACUCAGUGAUUGCCAUAAAAAAACGAUUAUAGAAUUCGAAAGAAGUGUGUAGUACAUCUUAAAAUAUACCUCGGUAGAACCAUGUCAAUAGAAGAAGCAUUAUCAUUUCCGGUUUCUGUUUAAAGGUACAGAACCACGUAAAAUUAAAGUCCAUGGUGAUGUUACAACGUUUACUAUCUAAUAUAAGAAUAUUCGAAUAAAAGGAGUUUUCAAACUAGAAAUUAUUACCUACGAAGGAAGUGAAACUGAAAGUUUCAUAUUAUUUGUUCUUGUGGUUUUCCGGUGCUUACACAUUGCUAGAAACUAACAAGGACAAAGAGAACAACGAAACGUAGGCUAAAUAAAAAAUCCUCUUAUUAAGUUUGUUGGGAACGGUUACUUCGUCGUACCCGACCUCUUUAUCGCGAUUUUGAAGUAAUUCAGCUUCAUCCGUCAUAGGAAAGACUUACCGGAAGAAAGAAGGAGUAUACAGUUGACGUUUGUUUGUACGAAGACGACUACGAAUCUUCUUCGGUUCCUCAUACACAGGUCUUGGAGAAAAUAUAAUGGUUCGUUAUGUAUAAAAGACUUACGUGUACUAUCUUGACUUUCCUAAAAACAAUAGAACGUACUACGGGACAACCAGACUAUGACUUUUUAAGACUACAUAUCCAAAAAGAGUUACUGCCAAGACUGAAUCUAUUAAAUAAUCUUCUUUCUCGUCUUUUUUAACUCUCCUACGACUUUACUGAGUUUAUCUUGAUGAUCUAGAGGUACGAUCGUUCGAUUCAUACAAGCUCCUUUAUUAUGCUACGUCAUUUAAAAGAACACUAGCACCCCUAACAAAUGUCUUAAUCGUUAAAACUAAGCGAAGUAACGUUUUUACUAUGGUAAAUCUAAAAUCUUCAUCUUUAUUUAGCUGACAUUCAGGUUGUAAACUGGUAUCUUCCAAAGUAUUAGAAGUCAUUAAUCAUACCAUAAUAUUGUAGAUCUUAACUACCAAAAUGUAUCAACCAGCCCUAAUGACAACGAUACCCAGAGUACAAAGUUAGUCUUAUGUGAAGUAAAUCGUUCGUGUUUCGCCGACACUCGUGCGGUGGCCGCAACCCAGCUACCACAGUACGUCGCUCCAUUCGUUGCUGUGGAGGAGAAGGUAGUAAAAAAAGUGGUAGAGGUUAACUCCUCGAAAUAAUCUAAACGAACCCAAACAUACUUUCCAACUGAUUUUAAAACUUCCUGCAGGGUAUAUGAUAUCACGAAUAUACAAACAGAAUUUAAGAAUACCGAACUAGAGACGGGUAUCCUUAAACUGAUGAACGAAACAACAGAGAAUUUUACCUAUUACCUAUUAUGUUUAAACCACUGAUUCGAACCGCUGAUUUGAACCGUUGUUCGAGGGGCAGAUAUAAGAGCACAUGAAGAACGACGUACAUAGGGGGCAGAGAUAAGAAUCCUCUGUACGACUUCUCAUAGAAGGAGAGCAACGAAGCGUCCCGUACAGUUCUUGACCGUCGGUUCCUAGAGGUACCUUGACUCACCGUAAAGAACCACUAUAAUGUUAAACUCGUAAGCCAAACUUCGGGGUAAUUUAAAAAUCAGCAACACAAGAAUAACAAAACCACAUCGUGAAGUACAGUGUCAACUUACUACUUAAGUAAUGAAGUACUCAUACACACCGGAGAGAGGGAGACAGACUAAGAUAUAGUACGGAAGGUUACAAAACACAAAGUCUACGGGAUUAGAGGAACAUAAACUUACAGUAAAUAAUCGAGAAAACUUUAAAUAUCACGUUGAAGAAUGAAUUUACGGUACAGGUACACAAUGGUUUCUAUCUUUCUUCUUUAACCUUACCCGCUGACGGUUGGACCGUGGCGGAUCGAAGGAGAGUCCUCCGCGGUGUUCCACCGCGGGGUUGGGGAUCAUAUGACUUUUCACCGGCUUGAACACCUUCCCUCUGUGUCCGGACCUUCGCAACCGUAGAGUUUGAUUUUGCGUAUGUUGGUUGGAUAAUACAAAAACCUUUUCCUACUUAUCUACUGAUUAGUCGUCGGAAAUCGAAGGAUCCGAUUUACCGAUGAGAUUCAAACGUUAUAGUAAUCGAGGAAACGACUAAUAUGAGGCUUGGACCUUACCACGUUAAAUUUCAUACAAUCAUCGGGGUUAAAUAUUCGUCCGGAUGAGUUGACGUGUACUCUGAUUUUUCAUACUCAUUAUCAGAUGAUAAUCCAAAUCAGAAGCGACUAGUUCCCGCUGAGUUCACAAAGAAAAUAGGAAAAACGAACGUCUCUUUCCGCGGUUGUUUUCACACCUAAACUUUGGGACAAAAGUUCAAACUUUAAAGACUUGGCAUGGCUGAUAUUUGAUCUUAAACGUCCCCCGUUUACAUCUUUACUACAUUGAUCGUAGUGUCCUUGGUCUUUUUGUGGGGUCUCUCGAGGGACGUCCCUUUUCUCUACUACCCUUAAUCUUUGUGUUACUAGUAGUAGUGUCCCUCGAGACUAGAGCAAAAGACCUGGACUUGGGACGUCCUAUCGAACCGUGACUAGAGCAAAGAAGGAAUUCAACGUUUUGAUCAAUUUGCGAACAAAGUCGCUACCGGACAUUAUUCAAAGACAGGCGAUGAAACGGACGAAAAAAUGUUUUUUCAACCCCGACCCCUUGGGGAAACUAAGUUCUUUUUCUUUUGUGUUACUGGUCAAUCUUUUUUUUCCCGUUAGAACAGACGGUGGGGUGUAGACAUUUUGUGUUACUGACAGAUAAAAUGUAUGCCUACUUUUGCUUAAGCGAAAGUCAGUCUAAAAAAGUGUUUAAUGUCCUAUGUUCACAGGGGACAGGAGACAAUCAAAGAUGAACAGGGACGAAAAUUUGUGUGGUCGUAGUGCUCGAAUUUGUCCGGGUGUGUGGUUGAGAAUUUAUGUGGUUGUAGUACUAGAAUUGCCAGGUGCGUGGUUGAAAAGGUCGGGCCUGUCUUUUAGUUGUUUUUGCUCGUGUUUUUUGGGUUUUAAUGUCGGUUUGAAACGGUACAUGUACACGUGAUCCGAUCUCGUUUGCUUUUCUUUUCCUUUCCUGGUCCUACUACAGUGGAUUAGUAUGUGUGGAUUUUACUGUACCGUUUUAUGUGAGACCUCGUGAUUUUUAAUGUAACUUUUCGAUAUUUCAAUGUGAUUAUUGAGGUGAUAAUAAAAGUGACACUAUAGGUGAUGUUUUCACGUGACGUCUCCUUUGCCCUUAUUCGUGGUUGGUUCUCCCACUAAGGAGGUACUAGAUCCUGUCUUUGGACUUCUACUAGGUGUGACGUCUUCUACUCCUUUGUGUC